AGAGCGAACGCUGGCGGCAGGCCUAACACAUGCAAGUCGAGCGCCCGUAGCAAUACGGGAGCGGCAGACGGGAGAGUAACACGUGGGAACGCGCCCUUCGGUUCGGAAUAACUCAGGGAAACUUGAGCUAAUACCGGAUACGCCCUUACGGGGAAAGAUUUAUUGCCGAAGGAACGGCCCGCGUCCGAUUAGCUAGUUGGUGAGGUAAUGGCUCACCAAGGCGACGAUCGGUAGCUGGUCUGAGAGGAUGACCAGCCUCACUGGGACUGAGACACGGCCCAGACUCCUACGGGAGGCAGCAGUGGGGAAUAUUGGACAAUGGGCGCAAGCCUGAUCCAGCCAUGCCGCGUGGAUGAUGAAGGCCUUAGGGUUGUAAAGUCCUUUAACGGGAGAUAAUGACGGUACCGUAGAAUAAGCCCCGGCUAACUUCGUGCCAGCAGCCGC
RNAcentral lists this ribosomal RNA (444 nucleotides) under uncultured bacterium. RNAcentral's name for it is "SSU rRNA". It matches the Rfam family "Bacterial small subunit ribosomal RNA", at positions 26 to 518 of the family's 1533-position model. The record is from RNAcentral.